This 249-nucleotide ribosomal RNA is filed under the name uncultured bacterium. RNAcentral's name for it is "partial 16S ribosomal RNA". It matches the Rfam family "Bacterial small subunit ribosomal RNA", at positions 791 to 1035 of the family's 1533-position model. The record is from RNAcentral.
UAGUCCACGCCGUAAACGAUGAAGACUAGCUGUCCGGGCACUUGGUGCUUGGGUGGCGCAGCUAACGCAUUAAGUCUUCCGCCUGGGGAGUACGGCCGCAAGGUUAAAACUCAAAGAAAUUGACGGGGGCCUGCACAAGCGGUGGAGCAUGUGGUUUAAUUCGAAGCAACGCGCAGAACCUUACCAACGUUUGACAUGUCUAGUAUGGUUACCAGAGAUGGUUUCCUUCAGUUCGGCUGGCUAGAACAC